Molecule: transfer RNA, 72 nt
Filed under: Camelus bactrianus (Bactrian camel)
Lineage: Eukaryota; Metazoa; Chordata; Mammalia; Artiodactyla; Camelidae
Also listed under: 2 other names
Rfam family: tRNA
About the family: Transfer RNA (tRNA) molecules are approximately 80 nucleotides in length. Their secondary structure includes four short double-helical elements and three loops (D, anti-codon, and T loops).
Source: Rfam by way of RNAcentral
GGAGGUAUCACUCAGAGGUAGAGUGCACGCUUAGCAUGCACGAGGUCCUGGGUUCAAUUCCUGGUACCUCCA